CCUACGGGAGGCAGCAGUAAGGAAUAUUGGUCAAUGGACGCAAGUCUGAACCAGCCAUGCCGCGUGAAGGAUUAAGGUCCUCUGGAUUGUAAACUUCUUUUAUUUGGGACGAAAAAAGGGUCUUUCUAGAUCAACUGACGGUACCAGAUGAAUAAGCACCGGCUAACUCCGUGCCAGCAGCCGCGGUAAUACGGAGGGUGCAAGCGUUAUCCGGAUUCACUGGGUUUAAAGGGUGCGUAGGCGGGAAGGUAAGUCAGUGGUGAAAUCCCUAGAGCUUUAAACUCUAGGAACUGCC
Molecule: ribosomal RNA, 295 nt
Filed under: uncultured bacterium
Lineage: Bacteria
Description: partial 16S ribosomal RNA
Rfam family: Bacterial small subunit ribosomal RNA
Source: RNAcentral